GGGACAACAGUUGGAAACGACUGCUAAUACCGCAUAAGCCCACGACCCGGCAUCGGGUAGAGGGAAAAGGAGCAAUCCGCUUUGAGAUGGCCUCGCGUCCGAUUAGCUAGUUGGUGAGGUAACGGCCCACCAAGGCGACGAUCGGUAGCCGGACUGAGAGGUUGAACGGCCACAUUGGGACUGAGACACGGCCCAGACUCCUACGGGAGGCAGCAGUGGGGAAUAUUGCACAAUGGGGGAAACCCUGAUGCAGCGACGCCGCGUGGAGGAAGAAGGUCUUCGGAUUGUAAACUCCUGUUGUUGAGGAAGAUAAUGACGGUACUCAACAAGGAAGUGACGGCUAACUACGUGCCAGCAGCCGCGGUAAAACGUAGGUCACAAGCGUUGUCCGGAAUUACUGGGUGUAAAGGGAGCGCAGGCGGGAAGACAAGUUGGAAGUGAAAUCCAUGGGCUCAACCCAUGAACUGCUUUCAAAACUGUUUUUCUUGAGUAGUGCAGAGGUAGGCGGAAUUCCCGGUGUAGCGGUGGAAUGCGUAGAUAUCGGGAGGAACACCAGUGGCGAAGGCGGCCUACUGGGCACCAACUGACGCUGAGGCUCGAAAGUGUGGGUAGCAAACAGGAUUAGAUACCCUGGUAGUCCACACUGUAAACCCUGAAAGGUAGGUGUUGGAGGAUUGACCCCUUCAGUGCCGCAG
RNAcentral lists this ribosomal RNA (695 nucleotides) under uncultured bacterium. RNAcentral describes it as "bacterial SSU rRNA". It matches the Rfam family "Bacterial small subunit ribosomal RNA", at positions 140 to 851 of the family's 1533-position model. The record is from RNAcentral.